GAACAGCAAAGUUGGUGUGAGUGAGAGCGUCUCUGAACUUCUCAGUUUGCAAUCCUGACUCCACUUCAAAUCUCAAAGAGAAAUGGGUGCCUGUGUUUAAGGACAAGAUCCUGCACUUUGCCAACAGAGAGACGUUGCUCUUCAUCUGCUUUUCAAAGUGGAAACUAUGACAGCAGGAACAUUUUCAGACCCAGCUUCAUUGGAACCAGGAAAGCCUUCAUUGGCAUCCUAUCCUGAGGUCACCAGAACCGGCUGGAUCCAGCACCAUUCAUGCUUCUUGUUGGACUCCACUGCUACGUGUCACUGAAUGAUGAUGACUAAAUGCAGCGGGUGCCAGCCAAACAUCACUUUUGUCUAUUAUGAUGGACUGCAGGGGAUGAACUGAUGCCAACUCCAACCAUAAGACAUGGUAUACUUCAUAUGCCAUUGUCUGAACCUUGGAUUUAGGAUGGACAACACCGAACCUCACCGAAAUUACAGGCCAGGUUGAACUGCGUUUCACAUCCCUGAUCUGCAUCACCUCGGUCUAUUGAUGGACUACGAUCUUGAAAUGGAAUGCAUAGACUAACAAUUGCCAACAAAAGCCUUCAUCAGCCAAUUAACAAGGACAAUUGCACCUAUGUGAACUUCUGCAGUUAAUGCAGGACAGACUUCAAAAGACAUUGGUCAUUAAUCUUAAAGUUCAAACAAAAUCGAUGUUUAAACACUGACCCUGAACACUUACUUAGUUUAAUAAUUUUAAACCAUGACUUUAACUAUACAUAAGUAAUAUUUACAUUAUAUUCAUGAUGUUAACCAGAGGGGAACUGGCCCCCACAGUGAGUCUGGUUUCUCCCAUCUUUUGGCAUUUUGUGUUCCUUGCCACAGUCGCUUUCAGCUUGCUCACUGGGGUAACAAUAGUUUUUUAUCUAAUUACACAAUGAUGAUUCAUCGACA
Molecule: long non-coding RNA, 936 nt
Organism: Xyrauchen texanus (razorback sucker)
Lineage: Eukaryota; Metazoa; Chordata; Actinopteri; Cypriniformes; Catostomidae
Exons: 4
Source: RefSeq, a predicted model, not a curated record